GAUGCACCUGGUGGCACACCUGUUAUGCAACAGCCUUUACAGAAAGACAAGCCACAGAGACGCAAGCUUGGCCCAGAAAAUCGCUUGAAGGAUGAACGAGGUGGCCGUAGAGAUCGUGACAGUAGAGCAAAUGGCAGUGAAAGAUAUGAUAGGUCUGAAAACCUUCAGUCCGGUGACUUUCAAGCCAACACUGAUGGGCCUGAGGGAGGGAAUCAUGAUGAUCCAAUGUAUGAUAAUUUUGGUGCACAAGGCAUGCGUGUACCUCCUUUCCCAU
This 274-nucleotide unclassified non-coding RNA is filed under the name Hevea brasiliensis (rubber tree). Lineage: Eukaryota; Viridiplantae; Streptophyta; Magnoliopsida; Malpighiales; Euphorbiaceae. The record is from RNAcentral.